RNAcentral lists this ribosomal RNA (460 nucleotides) under uncultured bacterium. Its description in RNAcentral is "partial 16S ribosomal RNA". It matches the Rfam family "Bacterial small subunit ribosomal RNA", at positions 338 to 795 of the family's 1533-position model. The record is from RNAcentral.
CCUACGGGGGGCAGCAGUGAGGAAUAUUGGUCAAUGGACGAGAGUCUGAACCAGCCAAGUAGCGUGAAGGAUGACUGCCCUAUGGGUUGUAAACUUCUUUUAUAUGGGAAUAAAAUGUUCCACGUGUGGGAUUUUGUAUGUACCAUAUGAAUAAGGAUCGGCUAACUCCGUGCCAGCAGCCGCGGUAAUACGGAAGAUCCGAGCGUUAUCCGGAUUUAUUGGGUUUAAAGGGAGCGUAGGUGGAUUGUUAAGUCAGUUGUGAAAGUGUGCGGCUCAACCGUAAAAUUGCAGUUGAAACUGGCAGUCUUGAGUACAGUAGAGGUGGGCGGAAUUCGUGGUGUAGCGGUGAAAUGCUUAGAUAUCACGAAGAACACCGAUUGCGAAGGCAGCUCACUGGACUGCAACUGACACUGAGGCUCGAAAGUGUGGGUAGCAAACAGGAUUAGAUACCCCGGUAGUC